GUCGAACGCACAGCGAAAGGUGCUUGCACCUUUCAAGUGAGUGGCGAACGCGUGAGUAACACGUGGACAACCUGCCUCAAGGCUGGGGAUAACAUUUGGAAACAGAUGCUAAUACCGAAUAAAACUUAGUGUCGCAUGACACAAAGUUAAAAGGCGCUUCGGCGUCACCUAGAGAUGGAUCCGCGGUGCAUUAGUUAGUUGGUGGGGUAAAGGCCUACCAAGACAAUGAUGCAUAGCCGAGUUGAGAGACUGAUCGGCCACAUUGGGACUGAGACACGGCCCAAACUCCUACGGGAGGCUGCAGUAGGGAAUCUUCCACAAUGGGCGAAAGCCUGAUGGAGCAACGCCGCGUGUGUGAUGAAGGCUUUCGGGUCGUAAAGCACUGUUGUAUGGGAAGAACAGCUAGAAUAGGAAAUGAUUUUAGUUUGACGGUACCAUACCAGAAAGGGACGGCUAAAUACGUGCCAGCAGCCGCGGUAAUACGUAUGUCCCGAGCGUUAUCCGGAUUUAUUGGGCGUAAAGCGAGCGCAGACGGUUUAUUAAGUCUGAUGUGAAAGCCCGGAGCUCAACUCCGGAAUGGCAUUGGAAACUGGUUAACUUGAGUGCAGUAGAGGUAAGUGGAACUCCAUGUGUAGCGGUGGAAUGCGUAGAUAUAUGGAAGAACACCAGUGGCGAAGGCGGCUUACUGGACUGCGACUGACGUUGAGGCUCGAAAGUGUGGGUAGCAAACAGGAUUAGAUACCCUGGUAGUCCACACCGUAAACGAUGAACACUAGGUGUUAGGAGGUUUCCGCCUCUUAGUGCCGAAGCUAACGCAUUAAGUGUUCCGCCUGGGGAGUAC
RNAcentral lists this ribosomal RNA (841 nucleotides) under uncultured bacterium. RNAcentral describes it as "bacterial SSU rRNA". It matches the Rfam family "Bacterial small subunit ribosomal RNA", at positions 61 to 883 of the family's 1533-position model. The record is from RNAcentral.